AAGCGAGCGCAGGCGGUUUUUUAAGUCUGAUGUGAAAGCCCUCGGCUUAACCGAGGAAGCGCAUCGGAAACUGGGAAACUUGAGUGCAGAAGAGGACAGUGGAACUCCAUGUGUAGCGGUGAAAUGCGUAGAUAUAUGGAAGAACACCAGUGGCGAAGGCGGCUGUCUGGUCUGUAACUGACGCUGAGGCUCGAAAGCAUGGGUAGCGAACAGGAUUAGAUACCCUGGUAGUCCAUGCCGUAAACGAUGAAUGCUAGGUGUUGGAGGGUUUCCGCCCUUCAGUGCCGCAGCUAACGCAUUAAGCAUUCCGCCUGGGGAGUACGACCGCAAGGUUGAAACUCAAAGGAAUUGACGGGGGCCCGCACAAGCGGUGGAGCAUGUGGUUUAAUUCGAAGCAACGCGAAGAACCUUACCAGGUCUUGACAUCUUUUGAUCACCUGAGAGAUCAGGUUUCCCCUUCGGGGGCAAAAUGACAGGUGGUGCAUGGUUGUCGUCAGCUCGUGUCGUGAGAUGUUGGGUUAAGUCCCGCAACGAGCGCAACCCUUAUGACUAGUUGCCAGCAUUGAGUUGGGCACUCUAGUAAGACUGCCGGUGACAAACCGGAGGAAGGUGGGGAUGACGUCAAAUCAUCAUGCCCCUUAUGACCUGGGCUACACACGUGCUACAAUGGAUGGUACAACGAGUUGCGAGACCGCGAGGUCAAGCUAAUCUCUUAAAGCCAUUCUCAGUUCGGACUGUAGGCUGCAACUCGCCUACACGAAGUCGGAAUCGC
Molecule: ribosomal RNA, 772 nt
Filed under: Lacticaseibacillus casei
Lineage: Bacteria; Bacillati; Bacillota; Bacilli; Lactobacillales; Lactobacillaceae
Description: bacterial SSU rRNA
Rfam family: Bacterial small subunit ribosomal RNA
Source: RNAcentral